AAUAUUGGUUAUUUGAAGAGGUCAACUAAUGAAUUGUCAUUUCGAUACGAUGCAGAAUUUGCACCUCUUCCAGUUCACUUACUCAACAUGUAAAUACUAAAGUGGUAGAUAGGUAAUCCAUUGACUUUUAGCUUAAUUAAAGUAUAAACUGAGCAGGAAAACUCAUCCAGGCUCGAGUUUGUAGGCUGGCAAGGAAUAGAUAUUUCAUUUGAUUAUAACCCAUCCAAUUCUUAAGUUCGCUGCGAUCUUCGAUCUCUUCCAGCAAUAUCUCAAAUGGAAUUAAGUUUAUGUCCAUUUCAUUUUAAUCUCAUUAGUGCGCCGAGGUCGAGUUCUCCACCCCCAACAGCAGCUGCACAUCCUCCACUUGGAAGCUCUGGAGCAGUCUGUUGUCGCUGCAGGACACCAGGAAGUUUAGCAGAAAGAAGAAACUUGUCCAACUAUACUAGAAACUUAUUUGCGAAUGUUUCGUUUUCCGCACUUUCCAAGCCAAAGUUGCUCAACCCCCAGAUGAAAUCGCAUCGAGGAGAAUGAAAUGUAUGAUAGGAACACGCUCUGAGUUUGCCUUUUUGAUCAGCAAUUCAAACACACGAAGCCCACACAUGCGAUUGCAGAUGCAAUAGAAUUUGAGCCAAAACUUUUCCACUAGCAAGGUGUGUGGUGGUAUCCUUAUAGCCAGAUAGAUGUAUUGUGUUUCCCAGCAUGUGUCUUCGUGCCAUAUAAAGUGCUUAAAUCUAAGUACCUCACGCCCACGUAGGCCUCUUAAUCACCAGGAGCAAUCGUAGAAAAGAGUUAGUAUUUAAAUGGUUGGUUAUUAUCCACCGGUGUGUAUAAUUUACUUUGCUAUUAUGGCAUGCUAGUUGCAAACAGGAAAACCCCUGAAAGUGCAAUUAAUUCAGAGCAGGGCUGUUAGCAAGGCUGUUAGUAAGGGGAAUCCCCUGGAAGUGAGGAGUUUGGGCAUGGUGUCUAUCGUGGAACAUCCUCGAACAUCUUUUGAGUGCCAUUAGAGUGAGGGGAAGGGAUAUUUAUUUCUGUAAUUGCUGUUGUCUCGCAAAUUGCAGUUUUCGCCAGACUCUUUUGUUUCCCACUCUGCACUUGCUAUAUAGACAUUGAAAUAGACAUGCAAAUUGGUAGACGGAGCAUAGUCGGCAUGACAUAACCUUUGAGGCCGCAUCCUUGCCAGCCAUCUGUGUAUUUGCAUUCGAAAUUAUGCUGUCGCACUGUUUGCCGAAGAAUCCAGGUGCAGCUUUUAAUGUUAUUAAUUCCCCAAAAAAGUAGGCAGUUUGGCCAAAAAACGAGCUGGAGCUCGGCCAAAUGUGCGGCGAGCCAAAAAGUACAUUUGCAAAUGGAGUGCAUAAAGUUAAGUGGAAAAGGACUCUCUUCAAACUUGCAGGCUAUCCAUUAGCCGAAAGGAUACACACUACAUGGUAGUCCUGAAAACAACUCCUUUGUAAGCACAAAACUCAUCCGAACUGAGCGAUAUAAUUGGUAUCCAAAUGUCCUUGUAAGCUAAUCCAAAGCCUCUUAGCAGCUUUCGAUGGUAGAACAUUUUAAGCUGAUUCAAUGCGUUCAAUUUCAACGCAAUUGAAUCGACUUCGGGCUUGGCUGGCGAGCUCAUUAUUCGGAUUACGCAAGCGGAUAAUGUCCUUUAGCCACUAAAUCCUAUUCCCAGCACUUUGACAAUGCAUAUAAUGCAGCUUGCCAAAAUGAGUUUGUGUUAAUGGAAUAAUGGCGAUUGGACUAAGCAAGUUAAUUAAUUCAAAUUGCUUGAGUCAUCUAAAGCUAUUUAUCACCAGGAAAUGGGUCCUGUGAAAUGUCAGAGUAUAAUUAAGUUAUAUAAUGAAGUUAUAUAAUGAAUAUAAUGAAACAUCACCUGAGAAGAAGCACCCCAUCAAUUUUUACAAUCAAAACUGGGGACAUUGGAAAGCAACAACAGCUGUCGAUAAGCCAUAUUCUUUACCAAAAUCGACUGAGAAUUAUUUGUUCAGGAUAUCGCUAUGUUGGCAAUCAGUGGCAAUUAACAGGACAAAGAGAAAUGACAGGGUUCUAGAUCCUUCCACCCACACACCUGUCAUAUUAUUACCCUUUCCCCUAGAACUCAACUAAUUUAAGCUAUGCAGCUCUUUUAUUUUUAUGGAGCCCUUUUUGUAGAACACAGAGUGAAAGUGCCUAAAUGUUUGAGCAAUUAAAAAGGGUCAUCCCUUGCGCAAGAAAUUGAAGCCCUCGGAUAUUUUUUGUUGUCGAAAACUUAAAAAGAACAUAGCCAACGGGACAACAAAUUAGAUUAAAUGGGCCUCUGUAUACCCUACAAUAUACACCAUCAUUUUGCUUUAAAUAUCACUGAGUAAUGUUAUCAAAACCACAUUAUUUGUAACUUAUGUGUAAAAUAACCAUUCUUACUUGUGCAAUUAGUAGCAUAUUUAUAUUUAUUUCUUCUGUAAUGGCUUAAAGAAAAUAAAAUUUACGUAAAUUAUGUUUUGGCAUAUAUAUCUAGUAUAUUGUAUUCGCUUAACUUGUUGAAAUGUUUAUGCAAAAUGCGCAAAAGUCGACCAAAUCAUUUUGGAUUUUAUACUACAAAGUUGUACAAACUUUUCAAAGUUCCUUUCGAGUUUCCCGAGAUACCGUUUUCAGCGAAGUUCAGAAAAAAAUUCAGUUUUUUUCCCCAGCCUUUUUUACGAUUUCCCUUUUGUCCACUUUAUGUUAGCCUGAAAAUUGGUUUAAUGGCCAAGCGCUUUGGCAAACACACACACACACGCGCACACACAGAUUGGGGCUUUUCCGUGGGAAAAGCGGUAUGUGGCAGUCCUCCGUCAAAGAGCAAAUGUGCGGUGGCGCUGAGUAAAAUAAUAAAUAAAACAAAACAAGCUCAGCAACAACAUGGAAACUUUACACAAACUUUCUCCCUGCCUGUUCCUCGUUGGCUGUUGGCCGAUGAGCCUGAUAGAUGUGUCAAUAAAAUCAAUAUUUGCCUUGCCUUUGCGACUAAAUGUUCAAUUAGCGCAUCAAUCAAAGACGCUUGAGCGAAUCAAAUGGUUUUUUUUGGGCCACUUAGACCGGGCUCAUGCGAUGAUUUAGUGGUGAAUAUUAACUGUGCGAUUAGAGCGCAAAUAUUUGACUAAUUAGCUAAUAAGUUAAGGCCGCAAAAUACAGUGUGCCCAGUAAAUUGGGUUCAGUUGGGCAAAUAAAAUCGGUUGGCGUAAGAACGCGUUAAAGAUAAGAUGGAUAAAGAUGGUUACUUUCCACAACGAUGGAAGAGGUCGAUUAUCAUAAUGAUUCCAAAGCCUGCCCACCAAUUUGGAUUUCGCGAAAGCCA
This is a long non-coding RNA of Drosophila sechellia, 3310 nucleotides long. RefSeq lists it as uncharacterized. NCBI's taxonomy places the organism in Eukaryota, Metazoa, Arthropoda, Insecta, Diptera, Drosophilidae. The record is from RefSeq and is a predicted model, not a curated record. The transcript is spliced from 3 exons.